RNAcentral lists this ribosomal RNA (342 nucleotides) under Triticum aestivum (bread wheat). RNAcentral's name for it is "partial small subunit ribosomal RNA". The record is from RNAcentral. Lineage: Eukaryota; Viridiplantae; Streptophyta; Magnoliopsida; Poales; Poaceae.
AUGCCUACGAGCUUUUCACAUAUUGUGCUUUGCUUAGUUAUUUUACCGUUGCUAUUGUUACAAUUACUACAAAACUACUACUGUUACUUUUGCCACUGUUACCGUUACUUCCAUACUACUUUGCUACUAAAUAUUUUGCUGCAGAUACUAAGUUAUCCAGGUGUGAUUGAAUUGAAAACUCAACUGCAAAUACUUGAGAAUAUUCUUUGGCUCCCCUUGUGCCGAAUCAAUAAAUUUGGGAUGAAUACUCUACCCUCGAAAAUUGUUGCGAUCCCCUAUACUUGUGGGUUAUUAAGACUAUUUUCUGGUGCCGUUGCCGGAGAGCAUAGCUCUACUCUUUGA